CACCGCGGUUAAACGAGAGGCCCCAGUUGAUAAUAUUACGGCGUAAAGGGUGGUUAAGGAGUAUAAUAAAAUAAAGCCGAACUGCCCCCCGGCCGUCAUACGCUUCCGGGUGCUAGAAGCCCAACUUCACGAAAGUGGCUUUAGAAAAAUUCGCCUGACCCCACGAAAGCUGAGAAA
This 177-nucleotide ribosomal RNA is filed under the name Acheilognathus melanogaster. Its description in RNAcentral is "partial 12S rRNA". The record is from RNAcentral. Lineage: Eukaryota; Metazoa; Chordata; Actinopteri; Cypriniformes; Acheilognathidae.